This 288-nucleotide unclassified non-coding RNA is filed under the name Hevea brasiliensis (rubber tree). The record is from RNAcentral. Lineage: Eukaryota; Viridiplantae; Streptophyta; Magnoliopsida; Malpighiales; Euphorbiaceae.
AAAGAUCGAUAUAUCACCGCACAAGUUUAAUUUAUUAAAACUUUUGAUUUGGUCACUACUUUAAUCUCAAGUUAAUCCCAUGGUUUUGCGCGGCCUGAAGGUAUGCUGCUGAGUCGUCAUAACUCAAAUGGUAAUGCACCUUUACCUGAUGGUGGUGGCGAUGAGAGUGGCAGUUGUACUGACGUGGACAACAGUUGCGGUGGUGGUAUUGGUGGUGGUGGAGUUGGGCGUUUGCGUUUUUUCUUCUUCUCGUAACUAACUCCCCUCGCUUUGGACUGCAAAUCACGA